This 464-nucleotide ribosomal RNA is filed under the name uncultured bacterium. RNAcentral describes it as "partial 16S ribosomal RNA". It matches the Rfam family "Bacterial small subunit ribosomal RNA", at positions 28 to 507 of the family's 1533-position model. The record is from RNAcentral.
GACGAGCGCUGGCGGCGUGCUUAACACAUGCAAGUCGAACGGUAAGGCCCUUUCGGGGGUACACGAGUGGCGAACGGGUGAGUAACACGUGGGUGAUCUGCCCUGCACUUUGGGAUAAGCCUGGGUAACUGGGUCUAAUACCGGAUAGGACUACGCGAUGCAUGUCGUGUGGUGGAAAGCUUUUGCGGUGUGGGAUGGGCCCGCGGCCUAUCAGCUUGUUGGUGGGGUGAUGGCCUACCAAGGCGACGACGGGUAGCCGGCCUGAGAGGGUGGCCGGCCACACUGGGACUGAGAUACGGCCCAGACUCCUACGGGAGGCAGCAGUGGGGAAUAUUGCACAAUGGGCGCAAGCCUGAUGCAGCGACGCCGCGUGGGGGAUGACGGCCUUCGGGUUGUAAACCACUUUCAGCACAGACGAAGCGUAAGUGACGGUAUGUGCAGAAGAAGCGCCGGCCAACUACGUG